GUGCUGUGGGAACGGUACAGCAAGUCAUCCAUUUUUCCUUAGCUGUAGACUUGUUUAACUACCUGGAAUAUAAACCAUGCUGAGGAAAGCGCUUAAGCCAAUGCAGCGCAGCCUUUUCUGAGGGUUGUUUUCAGAAGUGCAGCGCUCUGUGGCUCACAGCAUGGACAAAUUCUGCACAUACUUGGGCAUUAUUAAGUAAUAAGAAUGCAGUGAAUACUGGAAUACUUGGCUAUAAUUCUGCCUUAGCAACCCAACUUUUAUGCACUGGCUGUUUAAAGGCAGGGGGAGAAACACUUAUUUCAUUGAAAUUAAUAAUAUAUGUGAUUAAAUGAGAAAUACCUAAUCAGGCUUUAAAUAUUACAUGAUGGAAGUUGUAGAGCUUCUUCUGUCUCAUAUAGACAUAAACAUCUGGCACCCAAUGAAACUAAUAAUGAUGAGACGCUGGCUGUGCUGCAAGCAAGAGGAAAGCAGAUUUGCAGGCUUGUUUUCUGCUUUGUCUGUCUUGGUGCAGUAGCAAACAGACAAACUGCCAACCAAUUCCAUUUCCAUCCUGCAACCUGUAGACUGGUCUGUUUCAGGGCAAGUGCUAGUGGUUUGCAGUUCUCAGAAAUCCUGAAUCAGAUUUUUUUUGCAGUUGUUUCUAACCAAGUUAGUUUUGAUCUGGAAUUUGAGAUUUGUCUUCUCCCUGUUGGUCACUGACAAUAGCAUGAUCAUUUUUCACAAAUACCUGAAGAUCAGUUUGGCCUCAGUCAGAGGCCAAUUUCUGUCUCAGACAGAAAUAGUUACACUCUGCAGUGCAGUGAGUCUCAUCAUCUCUGUGCUGUACAGAUUACCUUACGCUCUCUGUUGGACCGUCUGACUGGCAGUGAACAAUGGCUUUUAUUCAAGAAACUCUGAAUGCUAGGCAUCUGAGUAUGUCAGUAAAGGAAACCUGAAUACAUGGAAUAAAAACAAAUUAAGAAGAAAUAAGGAUUAGAGGACAUUAGAAGAAAUAAACUUAUUUCCAUGAACAAGUAAUUGAUACAGGAAUGAAAAACCAUCAUCAGAGCUCUUGGACAAGCUGAAGGAGAUGAUUGUCUUCAGUCAACUCUACUACCUGGUGUCAAGAAUCAAAAGUAGUUGCUCAAUCAUAAUCCAAAGAGAUUUUCAGAAACUGUACCACCACAGACAACCAGUCCAAUACAGUCCAGGCAAAAGGUUCUAUGCUGAACUGUCAGCUAUGAAAGGACAGAAUGUGACUUACUCAUUCUGUUUGAAUAGCUAUCACUUUUUGUUUCCUAUGUAGAGUAAAAGUAUAAAGCUACUUGAUUUUUCUUAUGAAGAUGAAAUGGAACUAAAAGAUAAUUUGUUAACUCUGGAUAUUGUUUACUGACCUAUGUUUAGCCUGAGAACAAAAUAAAAAUUUAGAGAUAGAAUUAGGGUUCUAAACUGAAUUUUAAAACCUAAUGAGAGGGGUUUGGUAGCUUUGAAUAAAAGGACGACAAUGGCAUUAUUAAUACUCUUGUCUAUGCAACUACAUUCCCAUUAUUUCCAGAAAUAGUAGUUGAGUAGCUUCCUGCCUAAAUAAACAGUUCACGUACAUGGAA
Molecule: long non-coding RNA, 1586 nt
Organism: Columba livia (rock pigeon)
Lineage: Eukaryota; Metazoa; Chordata; Aves; Columbiformes; Columbidae
Exons: 2
Source: RefSeq, a predicted model, not a curated record